GUGGGGAAUCUUGCGCAAUGGGCGAAAGCCUGACGCAGCCAUGCCGCGUGAAUGAUGAAGGUCUUAGGAUUGUAAAAUUCUUUCACCGGGGACGAUAAUGACGGUACCCGGAGAAGAAGCUCCGACUAACUUCGUGCCAGCAGCCGCGGUAAUACGAAGGGGGCUAGCGUUGCUCGGAAUUACUGGGCGUAAAGGGCGCGUAGGCGGACAGCUUAGUCAGAGGUGAAAGCCCAGGGCUCAACCUUGGAAUUGCCUUUGAUACUGGCUGUCUUGAGUUUGGGAGAGGUGAGUGGAACUCCGAGUGUAGAGGUGAAAUUCGUAGAUAUUCGGAAGAACACCAGUGGCGAAGGCGACUCACUGGCCCAAUACUGACGCUGAGGCGCGAAAGCGUGGGGAGCAAACAGGAUUAGAUACCCCGGUAGUCC
RNAcentral lists this ribosomal RNA (425 nucleotides) under uncultured bacterium. Its description in RNAcentral is "partial 16S ribosomal RNA". It matches the Rfam family "Bacterial small subunit ribosomal RNA", at positions 354 to 796 of the family's 1533-position model. The record is from RNAcentral.